Zalophus californianus (California sea lion) is the source of this 107-nucleotide small nuclear RNA. Lineage: Eukaryota; Metazoa; Chordata; Mammalia; Carnivora; Otariidae. The record is from Ensembl.
GUGCUCACUUCAGCAGCUCAUAUACUAAAAUUGGGAUGACACAAAAAAGGUUAGCACAGCCCCUGCACAAGGAUGACACGCAGAUUCGUGAAGUGUUCCAUAUUUUU